GUAAGGUAGUCUCAUCGAUUCAAAUAAUGCUCUCCUUGAUAAUACUCAAACCAUCGUCCGAGUCAUAAUUUGCUAUAUACUCUUCCAUCAAUUCCACAUCAAUUGGCAACAAGUUAUCUAACCCUCACAAAAAUUGAUAUAACUAAGCAUUUCUAAAAUGUCUUUGCCUUUGUCGACACCAACACAUUUCCAACUUCAUUGGUUCCAUAUUAGUAAAAACCACUAGGGAUGUUGAUUCCAAAUUACUCUUAGCUUUUAUAUUUUAGCAACUUUCUUCUCUGUCUGUAGUUCUCUUCACUCUUUCCAUUGCUAUUGUGGAAUACUUGCUUCUCACUCCUUGCUCACACUAAUACUACUUUUUUAUUUACUGAAAUAAAUCCUACACUCUAAUAGUUACAACCCAAACAACAAUGUUCAAAAUGAUGAAGAAAACUUCUAUGA
This 441-nucleotide long non-coding RNA is filed under the name Physcomitrium patens. RNAcentral describes it as "long non-coding RNA (PPAT_LNC014649)". Lineage: Eukaryota; Viridiplantae; Streptophyta; Bryopsida; Funariales; Funariaceae. The record is from RNAcentral.